RNAcentral lists this unclassified non-coding RNA (209 nucleotides) under soil metagenome. Its description in RNAcentral is "partial contains 5.8S ribosomal RNA, internal transcribed spacer 2, and large subunit ribosomal RNA". The record is from RNAcentral.
AACCUAGCACACCUGCGGUGUGUACCUGCGGAAGGAUCAUUACCGAGUUUACAACUCCCAAACCCCUGUGAACAUACCACUUGUUGCCUCGGCGGAUCAGCCCGCUCCCGGUAAAACGGGACGGCCCGCCAGAGGACCCCUAAACUCUGUUUCUAUAUGUAACUUCUGAGUAAAACCAUAAAUAAAUCAAAACUUUUAACAACGGAUCU